Molecule: ribosomal RNA, 606 nt
Filed under: Blastobotrys adeninivorans
Lineage: Eukaryota; Fungi; Ascomycota; Dipodascomycetes; Dipodascales; Trichomonascaceae
Description: LSU rRNA
Rfam family: Eukaryotic large subunit ribosomal RNA
Source: RNAcentral
AAGCAUAUCAAUAAGCGGAGGAAAAGAAACCAACCGGGAUUGCCCUAGUAACGGCGAGCGAAGCGGCAAAAGUCCAAAUUUGAAAUCUGGCGUCCUACGGGCGUCCGAGUUGUAAUUUGAAGAUGGUAACUUUGGGUUUGGCUCUUGCAUAAGUUCCUUGGAACAGGACGUCAUAGAGGGUGAGAAUCCCGUUCAUGGUAAGAUGCCCAUUCCUUUGUAAAGUGCCUUCGAAGAGUCGAGUUGUUUGGGAAUGCAGCUCUAAGUGGGUGGUAAAUUCCAUCUAAGACUAAAUAUUGGCGAGAGACCGAUAGCGAACAAGUACAGUGAUGGAAAGAUGAAAAGAACUUUGAAAAGAGAGUGAAAAAGUACGUGAAAUUGUUGAAAGGGAAGGGCUUGAAGUCAGACUUGGUAUUCAGUGAUCAACUGUCUUUCGGGACUGUGCACUCGCUGUUUACUGGGCCAACAUCGGUUUUGGCGGCGAGAUAAAUGCAUUGGAACGUGGCUCUAUCUUCGGGUGGAGUGUUAUAGCCUUUGUAAAUAUCGCCAGCUGGGACCGAGGACUGCGCAUCUGCUAGGAUGUUGGCGUAAUGACUUUAAGCCACCCGU